GACGAACGCUGGCGGCGUGCUUAACACAUGCAAGUCGUACGGUAAGGCCCUUUCGGGGGUACACGAGUGGCGAACGGGUGAGUAACACGUGAGUAACCUGCCCCCAACUUUGGGAUAACGCUAGGAAACUGGUGCUAAUACUGGAUAUGUGCUCCUGCUGCAUGGUGGGGGUUGGAAAGCUCCGGCGGUUGUGGAUGGACUCGCGGCCUAUCAGCUUGUUGGUGGGGUAGUGGCCUACCAAGGCGGCGACGGGUAGCCGGCCUGAGAGGGUGACCGGCCACAUUGGGACUGAGAUACGGCCCAGACUCCUACGGGAGGCAGCAGUGGGGAAUAUUGCACAAUGGGCGCAAGCCUGAUGCAGCAACGCCGCGUGCGGGAUGACGGCCUUCGGGUUGUAAACCGCUUUCAGCAGGGACGAAGCUUUUUGUGACGGUACCUGCAGAAGAAGCACCGGCUAACUACGUG
RNAcentral lists this ribosomal RNA (465 nucleotides) under uncultured bacterium. RNAcentral describes it as "partial 16S ribosomal RNA". It matches the Rfam family "Bacterial small subunit ribosomal RNA", at positions 28 to 507 of the family's 1533-position model. The record is from RNAcentral.